RNAcentral lists this ribosomal RNA (425 nucleotides) under uncultured Brevundimonas sp. RNAcentral describes it as "bacterial SSU rRNA". It matches the Rfam family "Bacterial small subunit ribosomal RNA", at positions 354 to 796 of the family's 1533-position model. Lineage: Bacteria; Pseudomonadati; Pseudomonadota; Alphaproteobacteria; Caulobacterales; Caulobacteraceae. The record is from RNAcentral.
GUGGGGAAUCUUGCGCAAUGGGCGAAAGCCUGACGCAGCCAUGCCGCGUGAAUGAUGAAGGUCUUAGGAUUGUAAAAUUCUUUCACCGGGGACGAUAAUGACGGUACCCGGAGAAGAAGCCCCGGCUAACUUCGUGCCAGCAGCCGCGGUAAUACGAAGGGGGCUAGCGUUGCUCGGAAUUACUGGGCGUAAAGGGAGCGUAGGCGGACAUUUAAGUCAGGGGUGAAAUCCCGGGGCUCAACCUCGGAAUUGCCUUUGAUACUGGGUGUCUUGAGUAUGAGAGAGGUGUGUGGAACUCCGAGUGUAGAGGUGAAAUUCGUAGAUAUUCGGAAGAACACCAGUGGCGAAGGCGACACACUGGCUCAUUACUGACGCUGAGGCUCGAAAGCGUGGGGAGCAAACAGGAUUAGAUACCCCGGUAGUCC